ACGCUGGCGGCGUGCCUAAUACAUGCAAGUGGGACGCAAGGAAACACACUGUGCUUGCACACCGUGUUUUCUUGAGUCGCGAACGGGUGAGUAACGCGUAGGUAACCUGCCUAUUAGCGGGGGAUAACUAUUGGAAACGAUAGCUAAUACCGCAUAAUAUUAAUUAUUGCAUGAUAAUUGAUUGAAAGAUGCAAGCGCAUCACUAGUAGAUGGACCUGCGUUGUAUUAGCUAGUUGGUAAGGUAAGAGCUUACCAAGGCGACGAUACAUAGCCGACCUGAGAGGGUGAUCGGCCACACUGGGACUGAGACACGGCCCAGACUCCUACGGGAGGCAGCAGUAGGGAAUCUUCGGCAAUGGACGAAAGUCUGACCGAGCAACGCCGCGUGAGUGAAGAAGGUUUUCGGAUCGUAAAGCUCUGUUGUAAGUCAAGAACGUGUGUGAGAGUGGAAAGUUCACACAGUGACGGUAGCUUACCAGAAAGGGACGGCUAACUACGUGCCAGCAGCCGCGGUAAUACGUAGGUCCCGAGCGUUGUCCGGAUUUAUUGGGCGUAAAGGGAGCGCAGGCGGUCAGGAAAGUCUGGAGUAAAAGGCUAUGGCUCAACCAUAGUGUGCUCUGGAAACUGUCUGACUUGAGUGCAGAAGGGGAGAGUGGAAUUCCAUGUGUAGCGGUGAAAUGCGUAGAUAUAUGGAGGAACACCAGUGGCGAAAGCGGCUCUCUGGUCUGUCACUGACGCUGAGGCUCGAAAGCGUGGGUAGCGAACAGGAUUAGAUACCCUGGUAGUCCACGCCGUAAACGAUGAGUGCUAGGUGUUAUGCCCUUUCCGGGGCUUAGUGCCGGAGCUAACGCAAUAAGCACUCCGCCUGGGGAGUACGACCGCAAGGUUUGAACUCAAAGGAAUUGACGGG
This 910-nucleotide ribosomal RNA is filed under the name uncultured bacterium. RNAcentral's name for it is "bacterial SSU rRNA". It matches the Rfam family "Bacterial small subunit ribosomal RNA", at positions 33 to 917 of the family's 1533-position model. The record is from RNAcentral.